Molecule: long non-coding RNA, 383 nt
Organism: Branchiostoma belcheri (Belcher's lancelet)
Lineage: Eukaryota; Metazoa; Chordata; Leptocardii; Amphioxiformes; Branchiostomatidae
Exons: 3
Source: RefSeq, a predicted model, not a curated record
AAAGAACUAGUGUCUGAGUAUGGCUUAGUUGUCAUUUCAAGAGCUGGGUCUAAUCCUGAAAAGUUUAUAUAUGAGUCAGACGUGUUGUCAAAAUAUAAGAGCAACAUCCAUCUAGUGACAGAAUGGAUUCAGAAUGAGAUAAGUGCCACAAAGAUCAGGCGAUCCCUGAAGCGGAAGGAAAGUGUGAGGUACCUGGUCCCUGACGCUGUCAUUAACUACAUCAAGGAACAUCAGCUGUACCAGCCAGAUACUGAGACAUCCUGAGGAGGCAACAUGUGGACAUAUCUGACACAGAACCGUUAUAAAUCUAGUUAUACUGUAAGGCAGGUAGAAGAGACAACAUACUAUACAAUAUGAGGGUCAUGCAAGUAAAGAGCCAAACC